Long non-coding RNA from Bos taurus (domestic cattle), 820 nucleotides. The record is from Ensembl. Lineage: Eukaryota; Metazoa; Chordata; Mammalia; Artiodactyla; Bovidae.
CUCUCAGGCCGCGCCGUCCAGGGCACCCUGCGCACGGUUUUCCCGGGCUCCGGGGUCCCCUUGCCUCUCUUACCCUACCCCGCCAGGCCCGCGGAGGCUGCUCCUCCUCAGGUGGCCCGGCCGGGGCCUUCCCCCCGCAGACCUGUCACCCGACACCCAGGAAGCGCGCGGCCCCAUCCCGGCUCCUCUUUGUUCCCCCGCCGGGCUCCGCGCUCGGGCGCCGCCUCCUCCAGCGUCGCGCUCUGGAGGUUCUGGGCGCCGCCUUCGGGGCGGCCCGGGAGCUCCUUGGGUUCCGUCCAUAGGCCCGCUCCGAACCAGGGUGUCCUUUUUGCCUUGUUUCUCCGAUGUGGACUCCUCUCGGAGCUAGGAGGCGGCGGCGAGCCCAGCCCGGAGCCGGCGCAGCCGUGGGCCAGCCAGGAUCAGGACGGAUGACGAAGCACCUUGACCUCAUCUAGGGAAGCAGAGCCCUGGCCAUCUGCCUCCCGAGGUUGUGAACGCCGCUCUGCACGCAGGAAAGGAGCUGCCCGGGCUGUGGCCCCUUCAACCACUGCGGAGGCCCUGCCCUCUCGAGGGGCCAUGGUUGCUGGGGUGAUGAGACCAGAGCCAGCUAUCUGAAUGCCCAGGACACACCUCUCCCCCAGUCCUGGCUGCCUCAUUGAAAGCACCUUCUGGGAGGUCUGCUUCUCCAUCCGUUGAAAGCUAUUUGGGGACCCGGCAGGAUCUCACUCAUACCUUCAUGCCCAGGACUGGCAAGUUACAGGAACCCCAUUACUGGGAGCGAAACAGGAACCUUCAUCAUAUCACUAUUUUGACCCCACAG